Molecule: ribosomal RNA, 253 nt
Filed under: uncultured bacterium
Lineage: Bacteria
Description: partial 16S ribosomal RNA
Rfam family: Bacterial small subunit ribosomal RNA
Source: RNAcentral
UACGAAGGGGGCUAGCGUUGCUCGGAAUCACUGGGCGUAAAGGGCGCGUAGGCGGCCCGAUAAGUCCGCCGUGAAAGUCCAGGGCUCAACCCUGGAAUGCCGGUGGAAACUGUCGGGCUGGAGUCCGGAAGAGGCGAGUGGAAUUCCUGGUGUAGCGGUGAAAUGCGCAGAUAUCAGGAGGAACACCAAUGGCGAAGGCGGCGCUCUGGGCCGGAACUGACGCUGAGGAGCGAAAGCGUGGGUAGCAAACAGG